AGUACCCCAGAAUAAAAUUUGUUUCCUUUAUUUUUAAAUAACAGAAAAGAACAAACAUAAUAGAGAAGAACGAGCAAAUAAUGAAGACACAUGGGACAAUGACAAGUGAAAAAGUGCUCCAUAUGUCAAAAAUGUACAUUUUUAAUCUUUGCUAUCCCAAGAAGCAAGGUGACACGAGAAUUGAUUUCUGGUCAAACCAAAUAUUCUGAAAUGCCCAUCCAAAGCCUCUAAAUGGAGAAGCCAAUACUGUAUCAGUGAAACCUGGAAAAUGAGGGGGAAAAAAAGGGUUUACUCAUUCUGCCUAGAAGAGCUGUGUAAACAAAAACAAAACAGUCUUUGAGGACAGAACAUGAAGAACUGGCAAGCAAACACAAGUGUAAUGGAGAAGAUUUCUAGGUCACCCAACUGCCUAAUUGCUGGCAGCAUAUCUGGAUUUUUACAGCAUCUCUCUCUAACUCAGUCCUUUGGAAAACAAAACGCUAUAUAAUGCAAAACAGUUACAAAUCUAAAGCAUUUUUUAUCCUGUAAACUUCAGCUUUUACCUACAGUAGGGUUUUUGAGAGACUUGUUUUUCAUGUUGAGCUAAAUAGAACAACCUGUCUUUUCAUGACAUAUUAAAAUUUAAUGAUGAGUGAUC
Non-coding RNA from Cyanistes caeruleus (blue tit), 637 nucleotides. The record is from RefSeq and is a predicted model, not a curated record. Lineage: Eukaryota; Metazoa; Chordata; Aves; Passeriformes; Paridae.